This 3134-nucleotide long non-coding RNA is filed under the name Homo sapiens (human). RNAcentral's name for it is "non-protein coding LUARIS:5". Lineage: Eukaryota; Metazoa; Chordata; Mammalia; Primates; Hominidae. The record is from RNAcentral.
AUAGCUAACCUCCAGCCUUCAUGAAGAGCCCAUGGCAACUCUGUGGGAAUCCUUCCAGCAGCCCGCUUAUGGCUGGAGACAGAGGUGUGGCUUCUAUCUAAGCUUUUCCCUCUGACUCAGUCCAGGAGGCAACUGUCUUGGGAAGCAAAUGAUAACAGCAUCUGGGAGAUUCUCUUCUGGAUGGACUAGCAGGGAAUCAGGACAUGAACUCAGUGGACUAACUGCACCGAGACUCACCUGGUCAUUACUUGAAGGUCAUUACUUAAACCUCCAUGAAUCUCCUGAUGAACUCCCUCAGAAGGUGGAAGGAGCACCUGACACCGACCCGAGAUCAGCAGCAGCUACGCCCACGCUGUGGGCAGUUAAGAGGCAGCCAGUGGUACCAGUCGUGAGCGAUCAGAUUUGAGGACUCAGGAUUCUGGUUUCCUGAGUGUCAUGGACCUGCGGGCUGCAGAAAUGACAGCGACAGGUCUUCAGGCAGGUGCCACAGCACCCACACACUGCCAGCAUUUUGUGCAAAAUACCCAAAGCCACAUCACCAGAUCUGGGCUCUCCUAGCUUCCCUUUGCUAAAAUGCUGGCCAAAGAGCUUAACGAGCCACUCAGGGGCACAAGAUAGGUGAAACCUGCAUGUUUUGUUUGUUAAACUAUUUGCCACAUGGCACAAGAAAAUAACAAAAAAUAAACAAAAGGAAUAACUGCAGCAUCAUGGUUUUGUUAAGAUGUCCCAAAGCUGAUCAGGGCUUCCUGUUGAAAUCUAAAUGAGACUCUUCCUAGGUGGCUUACAUUCAGUCAGCUGUGGCUCUGUGCAAAGAAAACCAGUUUCCCUUGCUCAGAAAUUUGGAGCCACUGAUAAGAGAAGAAAAGUGUGAUUCCACAUGGAGGGUCAUGAUACAAUCUGAUCUCUGACCCCGUGGAGGUGAAGGGGCUUGUUCUGCAUGCCAGGCUGAGGACUCUCGGGACUGAGGCAUUCAGAGUCGCAGCUUUAAAUCAUAAGGGUUCCCUGCCCAUUUCAUCACAAGUCAGCAGCAUCCAAAGAGUGGCGUUGAAGAAAAUCUCAUCACCGUGGGCUCAGUUUAGAUUGCUAGUCGGCUCAGAAAGCUACCUGCAAUUGCGUUUCCAGGAUGCACCACAAAUACUCUCCACAUGAGGGAGAACAUCAGUGGAUGAAACUCAGCAUGCUUAGUGCGGGGCCAAGUCCUCUAACAAAGGACACAGCGGUUAACCUGCAUUUCGAGGACAGGCACUGUCAAGCCCUCAUCAGGGAUCCAUCCAGAGAACUUUGGUAAUUCUUGCAAAAUCCCUGUAUCACACAAUUUCCUUCCUUAAUGUGAUGAAGUGUAACGGACACAUCUAUAAAGCUUCUUCAGUCCUGCAAUGCAUAGAUGAGCAGAAGGCCACAAAGCCAGGUUGGUUGCAGGGACGGGGCAGCAGGCAAGGCAUGGUCACUGUGGAAAGUGACGGAGGCCACUUUUAACAGGUCAUAGCACUCUCUACCAUCAGAAUGGAGCCUGCCUGAAUGUGAGCUCAGUGAGAGGCAGAUUCCAUUCUUGGGCCCGUCCACGGUGACUUGUCUGCUCUGCUCCAUCAUCCACUUAUUCACAAGUUCUGGGGCAACAAAGGGCACGUUUUGUUUCAUCUUGUGCCAAACCCUCGAUGUGUACUCACUCACUCUACCUCAUCUCAAGAACUUCAGGGCUGGGAGUGCAUUUGGAGAGAAGGCAUGUGCAAUAUCUGGAAGCCUUAGCACAGGUGGGUUAUACUGAUGCUCUAUAGCCAAACUAUAGGAACUUGGGUUCUAAGGCCAGCAGGCCCAGGUGUCACCCCAAUGGCUCCCUUCAACAGCAGCAUAAAUAAGUCAUGUCAGAAGAACUCACAUUAGCCAUCUCCAGGACUCAUUUCCCUCUCAACAGCAGGAGCUCCUGCAGUCAGAACAGCGGUAAUUUUCAAAUCAGGCAUGUGGUGAUGCAGCAGGAAAGUGCCUGCAUCCCAGGUGUCCCAGCAGCUUUCUGGAGACCUCUAAUACCCACAUCUGCACCACAAAACUGCACAGCAUUGAGUGAUACCAAUCUUCUUAUACAUAUAGGUAAGUGGUAAUAGAAUGCCUCAACAGCAGACCACCCAGGAACCAAAGACAUACUGGAUUUUCAAGUCAGAAGAAUGCUUAGAGAUCAUCUGACCCAAUAGCCAUAUUUUACAGUAAGAUGCAGAAGCCAGUGUCCACAGUGCUAAAGCCACUGGUCCAAGGUGAAAGAAUUUCAAACCCAUAAAUACCUCCAAGAAGCUUCCACUGGGACCCUAUGAUUUUAGUAAAAUUAUCAACAUUCAUGACCUAUGUCUACUGAUCUUAGCGUCUUCUCAGUAGGCAAUUAUUCUUUCUCACAUCAAUUUGCAGUUGCUAUAUUAUCAGCAUCCUUGGUAAAUCCAUCUUGUGUUCUGGGUGAAGACUAACAGAUUCUUCCUUCUUGGACUCUGUCAUUCACUCUCAUCCCUCAUAACAUCUGGCCACUGCUCUAAACACAGUGGCCUUUGAGAAAUGCUGCUGAAUUCUGACUAAGAAAGAGGAGAACUUUCAAAUACAAGAAAGUGAACAUUAUAGAGCUUACCACUCAAGAUGGUUUUCUACAAAUGCGGACAUGGGGCUGAUCUGCACCGUGUAAGUAUCAUUUGCCGAGUACUCAAAGAGUCCAUAGUAAGGGUUGAAGAGCUCCUGAGACAGAAGGAAGAAGAACUCCCGCGAGGGGCCACUGUAGUCCAGGCUGCAAAGAAAGCAGAGGUCCAGGAAGCUCAUUCUGUGCCCGGAGGUGGGGGGACCUGUUUGCACCCAGAUUCUAGUGUGCCCUUUCAGAGUUGGGUGCUGGGGAAAGCAGAGAGCAGCCUCUGCUCUUUGGAGUGAAUGCCAAUGGCAGCAUCAAUUUGCUGUAGAAAAUGAGGAUGCAGUAAUUGGUUUGGAGAUGUUUCUUAACCAGAUGUCCAUGAAUAAACUCUUAUGGCAGCUUUCCUUAGUGUUUUCUUUUGAUCAUCUAACACCUCUGAGCUAAAACACACAGCUGGCCCAUUGAAUACAAGGCCUUUGUUGUGGGACACAUAAAAGAAUUUCCUGCAACAGUGAAUGUGUGCAUGCAUGUGUGUGUG